RNAcentral lists this transfer RNA (61 nucleotides) under Cucujoidea sp. 42 KM-2017. Its description in RNAcentral is "tRNA-His". Lineage: Eukaryota; Metazoa; Arthropoda; Insecta; Coleoptera. The record is from RNAcentral.
AUUUAAGUAGUUUAUAUAAAAUAUUGAUUUGUGAUAUCAAAGAAGCUAAUUGUUUUAAAUU